AUGUUUUUGUUUUGUUUAACAGUGCUGUAGGGGUUGAUGUUUUUGUUUUGUUGAAUGACCAAUUCCCAAUUUGCUCUAAGUCCUCGUCGUGGCGUAGUGACUCACCACAAUCCGGGUGGCGGAGGACGAAUCUCAGUUGCCUCCAGGUCUGAGACUGUCAAUCCUUGCAUCUUAUCACGUGGCUUGUUAAGUGCGUUACCGCAGAAACAUAGCGCGUGUGGAGGCUUCACACUAUUCUCUGCAGCAUCCACGCUCCCACCAAGAGUGAACCACAUUAUAGCGACCAGGAGGAGGUUACCCCAUGUAACUCUAGCCUCCCUAGCAACUGGGCCAGUUUGGUUGUUUAGGAGACCUGACUGGAGUCACUCAGCAUGCCCUGGAUUAGAACUCGCGACUCCAGGGGUGGUAGUCAGCAUCUUUACGCGCUGAGCUACAUAGGCCCCCAGCAGUGUGAUGAAAUUUUUGUUUUGUUUGAACAGUGCAAUGGUGGUUGUUUAUGUUUGUUUCGUUUUUGUUUGAACAGUGCGAUGACAGUUGAUUGUUUGUUUUGACAGUGUGAUGACAGAUAAUUGUUUUGUUUUGUUCAAACAGUGCCAUGGUGGUUUAUGUUUGCUUUGACAGUGCGAUAGGGGCUGAUAUUUUUGUUUAGUUUAAAGGUGUGAUGACAGUUGAUUGUUUGUUUUGUUUGAGCAGUGUGAUGAUGGUUAAAGUUUUUGUUUUGUUUGAGCAGUGUGGUGAUAGUUGAAAUUUUUGUUUUGUUUAAACAGUGUGAUGGUGGUUGACGUUGUUUGUUUAGUUUUUGUUUGAACAGUGUGAUGACAGUUGAUUGUUUGUUUUGACAAUGUGAUGACAUAAUAGUUUUGUUUUGUUCAAACAGUGCCAUAGUGGUUUAUGUUUGUUUCGACAGUGCGAUGGGGCUGAUGGUUCUGUUUAGUUUAAAUGUGCGAUGACAGUUGAUUGUUUUGUUUUGUUUGAGCAGUGUGAUGAUGGUUGAGGUUUUUGUUUUGUUUGAACAGUGCAAUGGUGGCUGUUGUUUGUUUAGUUUGACAGUGCAAUGACAGUUGAUUGUUUUGUUCUGUUUUGUUUAAACAGUGCGAUUGUGGUUGUUGUUUGUUUAGUUUUUGUUUGAACAGUGCGAUGGUGGUUGUUGUUUGUUUAGUUUUUGUUUGAACAGUGCGAUGAUAGUUGAUUGUUUGUUUUGACAAUGUGAUGACAGAUGAUUUUGUUUUGCUCGAACAGUGCCAUGGUGGUUUAUGUUUGUUUUACAGUGCAACAGUGGCUGAUGUUUAUGUUUAGUUUAACAGUGCGAUGACAGUUGAUUGUUUUGUUUGAGCAGUUUGAUGAUAGUUGAAGUUUUUGUUUUGUUUAAACAGUGCAAUGGUGGUUGUUGCAUGUUUAGUUUUUUUUUAACAGUGUGAUGACAGUUGAGUGUUUGUUUUGACAAUGUGAUGACAGAUGAUUGUUUUGUUUUGUUCGAACAGUCCUAUGGUGGUUUAUGUUUGUAGUGACAGUGCGACGGGCUGAUUUUUUGUUUAGUUUAAAGGUGCAAUGACAGUUGAUUGUUUUGUUCGAGCAGUGUGAUGAUGGUUGAUGUUUUUGUUUUGUUUGAUCAGUGCUAUGUUGGUUGAUGUUUGUUUUGUUUUGUUUGACAGUGCGAUGGCAGUGGAGAGCAUGACCAUCGCAGCUCCUGAUGUUUGGAUGGGGAAGCUCUUCCUGUCUAACGGACUGAUCGAGCAGAUUAGUGAUUUCCACACUGAGUCUUAAAGGAUUUCCUGACGCAAACACAUUCCUCACUGUACGUGAUGAUUAUAUUUACCACACCGCAAACCUGCGAAGGCCAGAGGUUGGAGAUGUGCGUGUGCAAUUUGCGUACACUGGCCUCAGUGGUGAUGGACUCUGUCCUGGUCCUGCUCACAAGGUGAGUAUUGUGGCGAAGCAGCAUAGUGAUAAACUGAUGCCCUUCAGGACUCAUUCAGGUGAUUCACUGGAGAUCUGGUAUAUGGGAAGUGUUUGCUAAAGAAAUAAGCUAAACGUUAUGAAGACGUGGAUGCUCAUGUUUCUGGGUGUCAGUCUGAGCACACCCAUCAUAUACACACCUGGUAACAUCAAAAUAUCCAGGUCAUGUUUAACCUCAAUACAAAACAAUAUCUAUAUAUACAGUACAUGAAAUUAUAUUUUGAAUAGUCUAAAUUUAGGACCAUUAUGAUUUUUUGCAUUGUGCAAUUAUUUUAAGGACACUUAACCCCCCAAUUCUCAUUACUGUAAUGUGUCUGGACAUUUUAUCUUUAUUAUAACACAUUAUUUUCAGUGAUAAUUUCCUAAAACAUUACUGUAAAAAAAGAUCUGCAAAGAUUUUGAAAACAAGUGAAAAUGAAAGGCAGUACCAAGUGAGAACUACUAUAAUGUAUAAAUAGUUAAAAUACAAUUUUGUUUUUUGUGUUGUAGUAAUGAGAAUUUGAGGGUAAAACGUGCUAUU
Long non-coding RNA from Myxocyprinus asiaticus (Chinese sucker), 2476 nucleotides. RefSeq lists it as uncharacterized. The record is from RefSeq and is a predicted model, not a curated record. The transcript has 4 exons. Lineage: Eukaryota; Metazoa; Chordata; Actinopteri; Cypriniformes; Catostomidae.